RNA transcript from Bactrocera neohumeralis, 5726 nucleotides. RefSeq lists it as uncharacterized. The record is from RefSeq and is a predicted model, not a curated record. Lineage: Eukaryota; Metazoa; Arthropoda; Insecta; Diptera; Tephritidae. The transcript has 3 exons.
CAAAGGCAAGCGUCUGUAACCUUAAUAAUAUUUCGUUAUUUGAAAGAAUUUGCUGCAGCUCUUCGUCCGAGGCCUGCGCUCGGGACAGCUCAUUGUAGUCAACAACUGCUGGUAGAUGCAUCGUUUCAACGCGUGAAAAGGUGUCAGCGACGUUGUUGUCUGAACCGGAGAUGUACUCAAUGUUAGUCGUGAAUUGGCUGAUGAAUCCUAGCUGUCUGAUCUGGCGAGGUGAGGAUUUAUCCGAUUGUUGAUGGAACACACAAGUCAAUGGCUUAUGAUCUGUCCUGACAACAAACUCACGACCUUCAACCCAGUGUCUAAAGUACUUGAUGGCUUCGUAUACAGCUGUCAAUUCUCUAUCAUAUGUGCUGUAGUUAAUCUGUGCGGGUCACAACUUUUUCGAGAAAAAUCCAAGUGGCCUCCAAACGUUUUUAUGUUUCGUCACACGUAAUCCGAAGUUCGGCGGCUGGUGAUGGAUGAGCUAGGAGAGUUGCGGCUGCUAGUUGUUCUUUGAUGUAGGUGAAAGCUUGUUCUGAUUCUGCUGUCCAAGGUACUCGUCUGCGAUCGUUUUUCUUCUUCGAGUCUUUUAAGAACUCGUUGAGAGGUGCCUGGGCAGCGGGAGCGUUUCUGAUGUGUCGUCGGAAGAAGUUUAUUGCGCCGAAGAAUCUUCUUAUCUCUAAAAUUGUUUUAGGUUUUGGGAAAUUCCGUAGCGCUUGGACUCGGCUUGGAAGUGGUGCGGAACCGAGUUUCGAAAUUCUAUAUCCCAAGAAAUCGACUUUAGAAGCACCCAAAACACAUUUUUCCGCAUUAAUGCACAGGCCGUAUUGGCUAAGCCGCUCGAAUACUAACUGGAGGUGUUGUAUGUGUUGUUGUUCACUGGAUGAUGCUAUCAGCAGGUUGUCGAUGUAAGCAUAAACGCAAUCGAGGUCCGUGAGGGCUUCGUUGGUAAAGCGCUGAAAAGACUGUGCCGCGCUUUGGAGCCCGAAUGGCAUGCUGAUGAACUCGAAUAACCCGAACAGGGUUAUUAUGGCGGUUUUUGGUAUGUCUUCCUCGGCCACCGGAGUAUGAUGAAACGCACGCCUAAGGUCGAUUGUAGAAAAUAUGUUCUUUCCUGCUAAUAUGCAUAAUCAUGAAAAAGCGAGAUUGGGUACCGGUCAGGACUAGUUCGUUCGUUGAGUCUACGGUGGUCUCCGCAUGGUUGCCAGUCUCCAUUUUCCUUCUUGGCCAUGUGUAAGGGACUAGCACAGGGGCUAUUUGACGGUCUGACAUGACCCAAAUCGAUUAGGAGCUCAAAUUCCUUUUUGGCCACUUUGAGGCGUUCAGGACAUAGCGGUCGAACACGUUGCAUGCACGAUGGUCCGGUAGUAGGGAAUUUGUUGCUCUCGGUUAGGGCCGUGACCGCUGUAAUGGGGGCGGUUGCAUAAUGGCCUACACUGUGCGAGUCUGAAUUAGGGUGUACUAAGCGACAUCGUUUGAGGUCCACAACUAAUCAAAAUUUGUGGAUGAGGUCUGCACCGAUGAUUGGAUACGGUACGUUAGCUAUACAGAAUAUGCAAUUAAUCGGAUGCCGUAGGUAUUGAGGGUGUGUGCUUUAUCCCCGUAGGUUUCGAUUUCGCUACCGUUUGCAGCUUGCAGUCGAAAAGGUGUUGGCAUUUUCUUGUUUUUACGAGAAAGUGGAGUUACCGAAAUAUCCGCGACAGUGUCGACGAGGAAAUGCGUACCCGAUAUGCGGUCGUAAACGAAUAGUCGGCGAUGUGUUAUGUUGCCACCAGCAUACGCCGUGUCUACUGGGGGCUGUUUGUGUUUCCCUGAAACGUGCAGGGCCAUGUGCACUUUUUGGCACGUUGACCAGAUUUUCGAUCAUAAUAACAUGAUGAGCUUGUAGCAUUGUCCUGUGAUGCACUUGGUGUAUUUUUAUUGCAAGUGCUUUCGUUGAAUGAUGCUUUGUCGAGCCUCUGAGUCUUGCCAAUCUGGGCACCCAUCGCCCGAUUUCGUUGCACAAUUUUGUUGUUGGUCCAUUUAACGUUUGCUGUUCAAUUGUAGGGGUCACCAAUUAUGUGGCGAAUGAAACACCACAAUUAUAUAAAAUUACAGAUUGUUUAUUGAAGAACACUUGUAUUCUUGUUGGCGUCUGUAUAAUGAGUGACGCUUCUUAACCUUUAUCUACUCUUCGUGUCGAAAACGACGCAAAAGCAAUAUUUUUUAAUUUUUAUGAAAAGAGGCGGCAAGAAGUCAACUGAAUUUCUCGACUUUGUUAAUAACAUUAAUUUGCUUUGUUUAAAAUGUUUUUCGUUCCACAAGUUUUUUUUUUUGUGGAUUGUGUUAAAAAAAUUACGUUGGCUACCCUCCUGCGUCGUUUUCGACGCAUAUGAGAAAACAUCUGUUUUUUGGCGGGAAACUGUUCGUUUCGCGAGUUAUUGGGUUUUUUGCAAGUGAUGAAGUAAUUUGUGAUUAAUUUACACAUAAAAGAGAUGUAAAAGAAAAAAAUCAAUAUGUGCCAACCAAAUUAUUUGUCAAGUGAAGAAAUAGGAGUUUUUCUAAAUGAAAGUGAAGCAGAAGAUAAUUGCAGUUUUUCUGAUGCUAGUGAUGAAGUGUACGAGCCAGAAGGGUCAAAAGCGAAUGAAAGUGAUAACUCUUCAAGUGAUAGUGAUUCUGGUGGUGAGGAUUAUAUUCGAACAACUGAUGCUAACGAUAGUGAUGGUUACACUGCAAAUACCGAUCCAUUGUACGUAUCAAAGGAUGGUACACUAUGGCAGUCAGAUCCAUUUCAGCCGCAAAGUGGUAGAUUUAGGAAUGAGAAUGUUAUCAGUCUUUCGCCUGGCGUCACUCGAUUUGCAAAAGCCCGUGUCAACGACAUAAAAGAUGCUUUUCUCCUAUUUUUGCCUCCACAUCUAGAAAACAUAAUUCCAAAGCAUACAAAUGCAUUUGACAAAGCUAAGUAUGGCGACGAAUUCAUGCGAAUUGAUUCCAGUCUGUUGCAAGCUUAUAUCGGUAUAUUGAUUUUAACUGGUGUAUAUAGAUCAAAAAACGAGUCAACGGUUGAUUUGUUCGAUGCAGAGUAUGGUCGUCCCAUAUUUAGGGUUAUUAUGUCAAAAAAGACGUUUGAAUAUAUCAAUCAAGUAAUUCGAUUUGAUGAUACCAUCAGCCGGAGGCAAAAAACAUGUGACGAUAAAUUUGCACCGAUCCGAGAUGUUUUUGAAAAAUGGUCGAAUUCAUUAGCUGAUUAUUACAACCCUCAUGAAUGAGUUACCGUAGAUGAACAGCUGCUGGGUUUUAGGGGUCGAUGCAAAUUUCGUCAAUAUAUGCCUUCGAAAUCAGAGAAAUGAGGAAUUAAGUUUUGGUUGUGCGUCUGUUCUGAGGGUUGCUAUAUUUGGAAAAUUCAGCCCUACUUGGGUAAACCAGUCGGUGCAAGCUCAUGUGAAAAAAAUCAGUGUCAACGUGUUGUUUUGGAUUUGUCUCGGCCAGGAAUUGCUAACAAAAAGUGUCACGAUGGUGGGAACUAUGAGGAAAAAUAAGAGAUCUAUUCCGCCAAAUCUUCUCAAACGCAAAAAACUACCUUUGUACCAUUCAACGUUUGCAUUCACAAGCAACACAACGCUUGUUUCAUAUGUUGGUAGAAAAAAUAAGUGUACAAUUUGACAAAGCACUUUGCAUAACUCUAAAGAAAUCGAGCCCGGAGUUAAAAAGCUACCAACAAUUAUAAAUUAUUAUAACAAAACUAAAGGUUUGUUAUAGAUGAGUUCCGAUUUAUUUGUUUAUAUUCGUCUAUUUGCUUGUUUCAUUCAAAAUAGGCGGUGUCGAUACGGUUGAUAAGAUGCUUUCCUGCCACAGUUGCAGGAGGAAAACUAAUAGAUGGCCGAUGGCUGUGUUUGCUAAUAUAAUUGACAUAUCGGCUUUGAAUGCAUUAAUCAUUUUCAAGGAAAUUAAUCCUAACUGGCAGGCUACACAAAAAACCACAAUAAGAAAGAACUUUCUACGGGAGCUAGGAUUAUCACUUGCUAGACCAUUUAUGACAUGUAGAACUUGAAAGCCGAGGUCAAGUUCAUCCGCGAAUUUGCUCGAUAUGGCAUCUUCACCAAAUGCAUCGAAAAGAUCAAAAAGCGUUCCUCCACAAAUUAAAGGAAGGCAAAGAUGUGCGAUGUGUUUGGAAAGUAAUUUUGCUUCAAAAAAUAACAUGCAUACUACAAUUUGUUGCUUUUGUUCAAAAGGUACAUGCAAAAACAUACACAACCGAAACGUAUGCGUCAGGUGCAUAAAAAAUAAGUUAAUUUAAGUUUGGAAAAAAAUUAAAACAGUAUUUUCUCGGUUAAGCUAAUAAAAACGACAAAAAUAAUGUUGGUUUUCGCCGUCCAAUUUUCCACUAAAAACAAUGGGAAGUACAUAUGCGUCGAAAACGACGCAUGAGGGUAGACAAUGUAAGUUAUUUUUAGGAGCAGAUGAAGGUUUAAACUUAAAACUAAGAAUUAGGAAUUCAGUUGAAACUAAAAUUCCAAGAAUAACUUUUGCAUGCAAAAAGAUACAGUCCUGGGUGGUAAGCUAUCUUUUGAUAUAUAUAAAUUGGUUAACCGUUCCAACAAAAAAUUAGUAGUAAUUUGCUUAUUUAAAUAAAAUAAGCGUAUUUAGAAUUAAAAAAAAAAAACCAAAAUUGGCUUAGGAAAGCAGCAGCUUUUAUGUUUUCUGUCGAUCUAGUGUAAACAAACACAGCCGUAGAAAACUCACCACGGUGUGUGCAAUUGUUUGAGAAGCCUACCAGCAAUUACAAUUGCUGGAACAUAAUAAUCACUAGAAUAAAACAAUGGACGAUGCGAUAGCUACUUCGCAUGCCACUGAAGUUUGCACAUUUUUCGCGGUGAUCAUUUCGACAUAUCAGCCUCCAAACCCGCGGCAAUUAUGGGAUACGAUCAAAAAUGACAUUGCCGAAGGCAUUUUACAUCGUAUUCGCUAAGAAUUGUAAAUGGGUAAAUUUCGUUUGGUACUUCCAUUGGUUCGAUAUCAAUUCCACCUGCCUUUUGUCAAUUCAUUUCAACGAAAGAUAAAUUAAUCACGAAUGUUUAUCCGAACAUUGGCCAAAUUAUCGUAACAACGAUUGCUCUCGCGCAAUUUUAGCUGCCAAAAAUAAUGAUGUUAGUGACUUAAACAGGAAUAUUCAGAGUCAAAUUCCGGGAGGUUUACGCUUAUACUAAUCGAUCGAUCGUUUUGACAAUGAAGACGAAGCCGUGAAUUAUCCGGUGGAAUUUCUAAAUUCUCUGGAAAGGUUUGGUAUGCCGCUGCAUCAUUUGCGUCUCUUGGUUGGAUCUGUCAUUAUUAUGUUUCGAAAUCUUUAUGCGCCGAAACUGUGUAAUGAAACCCGACUGAUUGCGACGCAGCUGUCGAAUACAGGGGGUCAGAAUGCUUGAUUCUACGAAUUCCUUUCAGUUCCAACGAGUUGCCAUAUCAGUAAAAACGUAUUCAGUUUCCAGUUAAAAUUGCAUUUGCGAUGACAAACAACAAGACACAAGGAUAGUAGCUAGAAAUGUGUGGAAUAAAUCUGGAAAUGCCAUGUUAGGCGCAUGGCCAGUUAUACGUGGCAUGUUCACGAGUUGGAAAACCAUCUUCUCUGUACAUUUACUCACUGGAAAAUAAAUCAAAAAAUGUUGUUUAUCAAGCUGAGUUACAUUGAAAAAAAUUUUGAAAAAUCGAAAAUAAAUGAUUUUUAACACAACGUAAAUUCAACUUUCUUUUCAUUU